RNAcentral lists this ribosomal RNA (547 nucleotides) under uncultured bacterium. RNAcentral's name for it is "bacterial SSU rRNA". It matches the Rfam family "Bacterial small subunit ribosomal RNA", at positions 777 to 1322 of the family's 1533-position model. The record is from RNAcentral.
AAUAGAUACCCUGGUAGUCCACGCUGUAAACGUUGGGCGCUAGGUGUGGGGGGCCUCUCCGGUUCUCUGUGCCGCAGCUAACGCAUUAAGCCGCCCCGCCGUGGGGAGUACGGCCGCAAGGCUAAAACUCAAAGGAAUUGGACGGGGGCCCGCACAAGCGGCGAAGCAUGCGGAUUAAUUCGAUGCAACGCGAAGAACCUUACCUGGGUUUGACAUGGCCGCAAAACCGGCAGAGAUGUCGGGUCCUUCGGGGGCGGUCACAGGUGGUGCAUGGCUGUCGUCAGCUCGUGUCGUGAGAUGUUGGGUUAAGUCCCGCAACGAGCGCAACCCUCGUUCGAUGUUGCCAGCGGUUCGGCCGGGGACUCAUCGAAGACUGCCGGGGUCAACUCGGAGGAAGGUGGGGAUGACGUCAAGUCAUCAUGCCCCUUAUGUCCAGGGCUUCACGCAUGCUACAAUGGCCGGUACAAUGGGCUGCGAUACCGUGAGGUGGAGCGAAUCCCAAAAAGCCGGUCUCAGUUCGGAUCGGGGUCUGCAACUCGACCCCGGU